Molecule: ribosomal RNA, 272 nt
Filed under: uncultured prokaryote
Description: partial 16S ribosomal RNA
Rfam family: Bacterial small subunit ribosomal RNA
Source: RNAcentral
UACGUAGGGUGCGAGCGUUGUCCGGAAUUACUGGGCGUAAAGAGCUCGUAGGUGGUUUGUCACGUCGUCUGUGAAAUUCCGGGGCUUAACCUCGGGCGUUCAGGCGAUACGGGCAAUACUUGAGUGCUGUAGGGGAGACUGGAAUUCCUGGUGUAGCGGUGAAAUGCGCAGAUAUCAGGAGGAACACCAAUGGCGAAGGCAGGUCUCUGGGCAGUUACUGACGCUGAGGAGCGAAAGCAUGGGUAGCGAACAGGAUUAGAUACCCCGGUAGU